UAGGGAACAUUAGAAAUGGACGAAAGUCUGAUCUAGCGACACCGCGUGUGCGAUGAAGGCCUUCGGGUUGUAAAGCACUUUUUGGAAGGAAUAGGAAGGAAUGUACUUCCAGAAUAAGUCUCGGCUAACUACGUGCCAGCAGCCGCGGUAACACGUAGGAGGCGAACGUUAUCCGGAUUUACUGGGCGUAAAGCGCGUGUAGGUGGUUCUGUAAGUAGGGCGUGAAAGCUCCUGGCUCAACUGGGAGAGGCCGUUCUAAACUACAGAACUAGAGGAUGGUAGAGGGAGGUGGAAUUCCAGGUGUAGCGGUGGAAUGCGCAGAUAUCUGGAGGAACACCAGUGGCGAAGGCGGCCUCCUGGACCAUUCCUGACACUCAGACGCGAAAGCUAGGGUAGCAAACG
This 402-nucleotide ribosomal RNA is filed under the name uncultured prokaryote. Its description in RNAcentral is "bacterial SSU rRNA". It matches the Rfam family "Bacterial small subunit ribosomal RNA", at positions 355 to 774 of the family's 1533-position model. The record is from RNAcentral.